UCUAAAAUGGAUUUGAUUGAUAUACUUACACCCUCUCUCGUUUCCCCUCUCCUCCUCUCUAGAACCUACACCAGAAUAAAAGAACCUUGUCUAAUGCCUGGCGAGGCAGACCAUCAGGAGAGACUGCCUGGUGAGGGAGACCAGCAAGAGAGACUGCCUGGUGAGGUAGACCAUCAAGAGAAACUGCCUGGUGAGGGAGACCAUCAAGAGAGACUGCCUGGUGAGGGAGACUAUCAAGAGAGACUUCCUGGUGAGGGAGACCAUCAAGAGAGACUGCCUGGCGAGGGAGACCAUCAAGAGAGACUGCCUGGCGAGGGAGACCAUCAAGUGAGACUGCCUGGCGAGGGAGACCAUCAAGAGAGACUGCCUGGCGAGGGAGACCAUCAAGAGAGACUGCCUGGUGAGGGAGACCAUCAAGAGAGACUGCCUAGCGAGGGAGACCAUCAAGAGAGACUGCCUGGUGGGGGAGACCAUCAGGAGAGACUGCCUGGUGAGGGAGACCAUCAAGAGAGACUGCCUGGUGAGGGAGACCAUCAAGAGAGACUGCCUGCUGCUGCAGAGCUUUGA
Long non-coding RNA from Oncorhynchus kisutch (coho salmon), 567 nucleotides. NCBI's taxonomy places the organism in Eukaryota, Metazoa, Chordata, Actinopteri, Salmoniformes, Salmonidae. The record is from Ensembl.